RNAcentral lists this ribosomal RNA (252 nucleotides) under uncultured Prevotella sp. Its description in RNAcentral is "partial 16S ribosomal RNA". It matches the Rfam family "Bacterial small subunit ribosomal RNA", at positions 524 to 776 of the family's 1533-position model. The record is from RNAcentral. Lineage: Bacteria; Pseudomonadati; Bacteroidota; Bacteroidia; Bacteroidales; Prevotellaceae.
UACGGAGGAUGCGAGCGUUAUCCGGAUUUAUUGGGUUUAAAGGGUGCGUAAGCGGGCUGUUAAGUCAGCGGUCAAAUGUCGGGGCUCAACCCCGGCCUGCCGUUGAAACUGGAGGCCUUGAGUGCACACAGGGGUGCCGGAAUUCAUGGUGUAGCGGUGAAAUGCUUAGAUAUCAUGAAGAACUCCGAUCGCGAAGGCAAGUGUCCGGGGUGCAACUGACGCUGAGGCUCGAAAGUGCGGGUAUCAAACAGG